ACGUACACUCCUGCGGGAGGCAGCAGUGGGGAAUAUUGGACAAUGGGCGCAAGCCUGAUCCAGCCAUGCCGCGUGAGUGAUGAAGGCCCUAGGGUUGUAAAGCUCUUUCACCGGUGAAGAUAAUGACGGUAACUGGAGAAGAAGCCCCGGCUAACUUCGUGCCAGCAGCCGCGGUAAUACGAAGGGGGCUAGCGUUGUUCGGAUUUACUGGGCGUAAAGCGCACGUAGGCGGACUAUUAAGUCAGGGGUGAAAUCCCGGGGCUCAACCCCGGAACUGCCUUUUGUACUGGUAGUCUUGAGUUCGAGAGAUGUGAGUGGAAUUCCGAGUGUAGAGGUGAAAUUCGUAGAUAUUCGGAGGAACACCAGUGGCGAAGGCGGCUCACUGGCUCGAUACUGACGCUGAGGUGCGAAAGCGUGGGGAGCAAACAGGAUGAGAAACCCCUAUAGUCCCAUGAU
Molecule: ribosomal RNA, 456 nt
Filed under: uncultured organism
Description: partial 16S ribosomal RNA
Rfam family: Bacterial small subunit ribosomal RNA
Source: RNAcentral